RNAcentral lists this microRNA (21 nucleotides) under Mus musculus (house mouse). RNAcentral's name for it is "mmu-miR-6541". Lineage: Eukaryota; Metazoa; Chordata; Mammalia; Rodentia; Muridae. The record is from miRBase by way of RNAcentral.
CACAGGCAAGGACUUCUCAAG